AUUCAUGAUUUGAAUGAAAUACUAGAUGGAUAUCUUUUUGCUUUUAUCUAAUUGAAUUCUUGCAGGAUUAAUUAUGAAAGUUUGUGUUACAACCCAAAUUUUGCCAGUCAUAAAUCAAAUGUUUAAUUGUCAAAGUCAAAGUCAAAAAAGACUGAAAUGAAAUAAAUUAUUUAAUUGGGACUUAAUUUAAUAGGAAAAAUAUUUUGAAGGAUUAAAUUGGACAAAAUAAAAUUUCGGGGUCUACUUAUAUAUUUUUAGAAGUUUAGAUUUAAUGUGGUUUUAUUUGAAGUUGGAGGGCUUUCUUUGCAAAGUUGGUAUAAUGGAUUACAUGUGGCAAGUAUUUAACUAAUAUCUCAUUUUUCAAAUGAUUACACGCACUCACACACAGUAGAAAAAUCGGGCAGUGAGGUUGGGAAAGAAGAGAAGAGAAAAACCAAGGAAAAGGAAGAGAAAAAGAAAAAGCAGAAGGAAAAGGAAAAAGAAGGAAGAAAUUUGGUGUCAACUACUCGAAGCUUUAUAUCUUUAAUUCUUCAAAAGAUUGAAGGUAAGAGCAUGAUUUCAAGCUAAUCUUUUUGUUUUGUGAAAGAUUUUUGCAUCAAGGUAAGUUAUACUAUUUUUGGCAAACCUAGAGUUUUUAAUUGAGUUUUUGAAUAAGAAUAAUUAGGGGAAAUGAUUUUGAUGAUGAAAUAUUAACUUUAUGGAAUGAAUUUAUGGAAUAAGAUGUAAAUUAGAUUAGUGUAUGUGAGAAUUCAAGUUUCACUAGAUUAGAAGAAAGAAUUGUUUUUAUGUUUGGGAUGAAGGUAAUUAUGAUAAAUUAAAGAUCAGUGAAUGGUCUAGAAGGUAGAAUUCGUUCCAAUUGUGAAGGAGAUUAAAGAUUAUAUUCAAGUUCCGAGAAAUCAAGUUCUAAUAUUUCAUAGUUAAAUGUUAAGAAUAUUUGGUAUGCUAGUUGUUAAAUGGGUUAUUUGGUAUCAUAUUCCAGGUGGUGACAAGAAAAUUGGAAAAGCUUAUCGACCUUCAUAGGUUGUAGCUUAACUAAUUAUCAGAGGUCUUUGGGAUCCACUCUCGUACACCUAUGGGCCGUGUACUAGGGUGAUUAGCCUUUGGGGUAGCUCUGCGUACGUAUGACCAGAUUAUCAGACUAUCAGAUUUGAAUGACUUUGUCUUGUACAUUGAGAUUACUCUAUACAUGAGUAAGGCUAUUCAUUGAGUACCUUUUUGGUAUGGUUUCUCAGUAUUUCUACAAUUUCUCAGAUUUCAUAUUAUAGAAUUCAGUUAAUUCAGUUUUCAAAAUAAAACUUUCAGCUUAUAGUAUUGAGCAACAGCAAUAUUUUAUAGAUUUUCAUGGAUAUCAGAUUAUUUAUAAUCACUAUAUUUUACUGUUGCUUACCUAGAAUUAAGAAUAACGAAUUUUAUGCUGCAAUCAUGUUUAGUUUUAAAAGUGUUACCAGAUUUCUGAAUUCCUAGAAGCUUUAGUAGUGCAAGAUUUUUCAGAAAAUAUGCAUAAAUAGAAAAAGUAUACUUAUUUGCAAAUUAUCCACUCACUGAGCUAUAAGCUCAUACAUCUUUUCACCAUUUUUUUUAUCAGAUAGCAGCUCAGUUGAGCAGCUUUGGGCCUGUCGAUCCACCGAAUUGAGCCACAUGUCAUUAGUUGUAUGAUCUACUUUAUUAGAUUAUAUAGUACAUGUUUCUUUUGGGUUAUAUAUAGUUUAUGUCAGAAAAAGUUAUCAUGGGUUCACUGCAUAUUUGGUAUCUUUGGUUAUAUUUGAGGAUUGUUGGUUGUAAAGCAAGAAAAUAUUGAUUUGCCGGCAAUUUAUUUGUAUAAUUUGUAUUUUGAGUAA
Olea europaea var. sylvestris is the source of this 1838-nucleotide RNA transcript. RefSeq lists it as uncharacterized. NCBI's taxonomy places the organism in Eukaryota, Viridiplantae, Streptophyta, Magnoliopsida, Lamiales, Oleaceae. The record is from RefSeq and is a predicted model, not a curated record. The transcript is spliced from 3 exons.